CUGUGCCAAGUUUAAUAAAAGACAAGAGAAAGAGAGGCGCUUAUAUUAAUUUGCCACAUUUCGUUUAACAAACCCCACGAAUACAUCAAGAACAUGUAAACACAACGUAUGCAAAUAGUAAAACAAUUAAAUAGCUCAUACAUCAAUUUAGUACCUCAGGCUUGGAGUGCAAUCUGCCUAUUCUCUAAAUAAUACCGAUACAAAGAAAUUCAUCAAGAUUUCUCCAAUAUUAGAAGACACAAUCAAUGAUUUAAGCAAGCACAAUAGAAGCGCAAAGCAUGAAUAAGCUUGAGAUUCCGGUCCAUGCAAUCCUGCUCACUCCAUUUUUAUCUUUUGCAGGUGGUGUGACUAUAAAACAGUCGAGAGAGCAAUAUUGUUAGCAAGAAAACACAGCAAAUUAAACAUGUAUCUGUUAUUGCUGAUAAGUAAAUUAAAAUAUGUACAUAGACAAGUAAACCAACUCAAACAACUUUAUCUUGAAUUCACAUUUGACUGGGAGAUCAAUUCUAAACGAGGAAGAGAUGGACACAUAUGAUUUAGACAUAGACGCUUUGGUGCUCCAUUAACCCUCGCCUCCAGUUCAGUGACUACAAAUGUCUAAAUAAGGUACUUGCACAAUCACACAAAAAAAAAGGUACUUCCACACUUUAUUUGUAAACUAAUUGUGAUCAUAAGUCGAGUAGCAUAACAAAUACGGCCACUUUUCAUUUGACCUGCCUCAACAUUCUCAGGGUACCUAGCAUAUAACUUCAGACAGAGUUAAACCAAAAUAACUUGGCAGAAGUUGUAAUAAUACAGAGUAAAAGAUUGUCAUCCUCUAUCCCUGUUCUUCUUUUCUUUGCCAGCCUUAGAAGAACCUUCAAAUUGGCAUGACUUAAGAGGUGGCAAACAGAUGAUGCAAAAGAUUACUUUGGAAGGACAAAGCUGCCAAAGGGGGUGGGUGUUAAAAGGGGACAUUAAAAACUUAAUCCUAGCUAUAGGCUAUAGCAGAAGACAAGACUAUUAAGACAUAUCCAAAGAAAACCGACAUCCAUGAGAAGCUGCUCUAUAUGAUACCAGUGCAAAUACUAACCCGAUAAGCAGGAAAACGAUCAAAAUCACUUAUUGGAUAAGCAAGAACUAGCUUCUUAAUAUUGGUCAAAGUUUUGGCUGAAAAUCUAAGAUUGAACACCACUAAGAAGUAGGACGGACCUUCAGCUAAGUGCUCACUAACAACAACUAAUGAUUGUGUUUGGAGAAGCAACUCAAAACUAUUUUGCCACGGUACGGAAACUUGAAUAAAAUGGAAGAACAGGAAAUUUGAAAGAGAAGCAAAGAAAUACUUAAAUUUGUAUGAAUUUAGUUUUACACCAGGUGUUAUUCAUUUUUUUGUAUUUUUCCUGUUCCUCUCUAAGCCUCUAAGGAGCAAAUGAAGACAGAAUUCUAAACAAGCUUGUAAGUUGUAUCUGAUACAUAAUUUACAGCACAGAAUGAACAAAACUUGUUGAGUGCAUUGAUAAAUCCAAUAUUAACAUUCUUGUUUGUCCUUUUGCAAGAGGGAACAGAAUAUUCUAUUUUGUUUCAUUUCAAAAAUCAUAUACCGGUAAAGUUGUUGCCAUAUAACCAGGAGGUCACAGGUUCGAGCCGUGGGAAUAGCCUUUUGCAGAAAUACAAAGAAGGCAUCGUACGAUAGACCCUUGUGGUAUGGCCCUUCCCUGGACCCCGCGCAUAGCGGGAGCUUUUCAGUGAAAACUUUUUCCUGGUGGAACAAGUCAAGAAAUAUAACUAUGCUGUCAAUUUUCAAAAUUGGGGGAUUUGAAUUAUCGAAAAAGUACAAGAUAUCAAGUCAACCUUUGAAUUUGCAAGUCUUACUAUAACUAGUGUAUUAACAUUUAACAAUAGCAGGCCCCUAUAAAAACGAACAAACUAAAUUUACAACUUCUUUAUUAGAAAAUGGAUCAACGAAUGAUAAGUGCAAACACCUAUGAUUCAAGUUCAGAAAAUUUAAAGGAGUAAUGGUCAAUAAUUAAUAAUAAUCAAAUCAAAUUGCUACAUACUCCGAGAUAGUUAAUUAAUUGACGAAUAUUAAUUCGGUGGUAAACAAAGUAGAAACAUUGAGCAAUUAAUCUCAAUUACCUGGCGUUGUCCCAGAAGCAGAAGAACCUGAACUUUUUGGAGCAGCAGCUGCAGACAAAAACGAAAAAUCAAAUUAAUAGUAAACGGACAAUUGAGACAGCCCCAAUUAUUUACUAAAGAAAUUUUUACACCAUUUCGAAAAAUUGUUUUCUCCUAUAAAAAUAUGAAAAAGGACAAAAAGUGAAGAAAAUCAGAUUUGAAGUAGUUUAAGGUCUUGAUCCCAGGAAAAACAGAAAAUUACCAACUUCAAAAUCAAUUAAUUGAAUCCCAAUUCACACAGCUCUUCAUCUUCUAAAACAAAAACGGAACAAGAUCUGGGUUUUAUUUUAAACUGAAAGGCCAUUGAUUUAGUACUAUUAAUUAAGUGAAGAAAAAUGCAUAAAAAUCUUACCUUUACAAGCGCUAACAUCGCCGGGGAUAUUACAGGCCUUAGGAAGCGCAAGUGCUUGAGUAACAUUAAUACCAAGAGAAGGCAACAACGUAGGAUUUUCGUACAGGUUGCAGAGACAAUCAAGAUCUUUGGUCACGGCUUCUCUAAGUGGGUCACAGCAAGAAGCCGGUGGUUUUGUUGAGUUGAGGUAAGGUGCACAUGGUACUAAUUGAGAAGCACAUGACGGUGUUUGGGCCACCGUUAGUGUGGUGGUUGCCGCCAUCAGCGCCACCGCGAUCAGCAAGGAGAGUUUUGA
This 2801-nucleotide long non-coding RNA is filed under the name Nicotiana benthamiana. RNAcentral describes it as "long non-coding RNA (NBEN_LNC008893)". The record is from RNAcentral. Lineage: Eukaryota; Viridiplantae; Streptophyta; Magnoliopsida; Solanales; Solanaceae.